RNAcentral lists this long non-coding RNA (1966 nucleotides) under Schizosaccharomyces pombe (fission yeast). The record is from RNAcentral. Lineage: Eukaryota; Fungi; Ascomycota; Schizosaccharomycetes; Schizosaccharomycetales; Schizosaccharomycetaceae.
AAAAAUUAAUUGAUCAAACCACAAAAACAAAACGAAAUUAAACCACUUGCCCGACUACCUCGACUCCGUCCUCAAAUACAUAAGACUUAUCGUCGGUUGGAGAAGGCGCAUUCUUUUCUUGCUCUAGCUCAUGGUUGACGAUGAGCUGUCUUUGUUCUGCAACUUCAAUUGCGCGACGUCUUUCCUCUUCAAAAUUUUCACGAAUUUUUUGCAAUUCUUUCUCCAUUUCUUCAACCGGACGAAACACCUUUCCUGAAACUUUACUAUAUUCUUCCAUAUCUAAUUUAAAUGGUUAUUAUUUGAGUACUCACACAAUGUCUUACCAAUAGGUUUUUUAAUUUUCAAAGCUUGAUUAACACGUGCAGGAUUUCUUCUUUCUUCUUGUUUAAACUUUAGUUUUAUCUGUCGACGAUUACGAGUUGGAAACAUAUUAGCAAUUAAAGCAAAAUCAGUUCCCCACUGUGAUAGAGCCUGCCAUGUCAGUAAAUACGAGCGCAAUUCCUCCAUACCUUAUAAAAUUUUUCAGUAUCCAUAGCGUUCCAUUUCUCAGGUUUCUGCCUAUUUCCCCAAGUAGCACUUGUAACCCGACGACUUAAAGAAUUUUCUUCAACGUAUUCGCGUUCCUCUGCUGGUACAAAAUCACGUUCAUGACGGUCGACUUCUAGUGAGGUUUCAUCCAGAACAAUUUGGCCAUUAACAACUCGCGUACGAGGAGUUGCAGAGUAAUUGGAGUUGUUAUUCAAACCAUCAACUUCCAUUUUAUCUGCUAACUGAUCAAGAAUAGACUUUGUUGGGUGAGAGAGACUAUCUUCGAGAGAAGCAGACUCAUCCGUACCCUCUUCUUCCAAACUUCCUACUAUUUCUUCUUUCUCUUUCGGUUCGCUUGAUUCUAGAAGACUGGCACUCAAAGGCUGUUUGAUGGUAGAAUCUAAAGACGCUUCUCGACUAGAGCUUGCAGUACUUGCUCCUUGUUUUUUAAUCCUCUUUGCUCGUUUUUCCUCAAAAAGCAUUUUUUCUAAUUCGAUAAAUCGUUGACUUUUGCGGCCAAUUCCAGGAUCAUCACAUAAAGCAGACAUUUUGGUUUCACUUAUGUUAAUGAUUUUCUCGUCGGUACCCACGUUUUCCAAUAUCAAUUGACUUUUUCUUUUCAAAGAAGAUUCUAUGAUGUUAUUAAAUAAUGCAUUUUAGAUUAACCCUUUAUUUACGUACCUCUAUAUGAACGGCGAGACUUUUUUGUAGCCGGAGAAUCCGCCUUUCCGUCACUAACAGCACUGAGCUGAGAAAGGGGAAUGUUCUCAUCAAAAAACAAAUCUAAUUCCUUCAUAAAUUGCUGUUCGGCUGAAGAGGAUAAAUCGGUUUCAGGCGACAAAUGCUCAAUAGCAUUUAACGGCUGCUCAAGAACCGUUGGCUUAGAAAUUUUAAAAGUAGGAUUUGAAUGCAAAAGUUUUUCAUUUUGUUUCACUGAAUCAUCUUUUCUAUAGGAUGAAGCUGUGGGAUUUUCAGUUGCCUCUUUGUGAACUACUGUUUGCACAACCGGACUAGAAAUAUCAGCAUUGGCAGUAUCACGAGACAGCUGAGCGGAUGUUUCUACUUCGUUUCCUGUGAGGGGUUGAUUUUUUUCUUCAUGAACAACCUCUUUUUGGUCCGAUACUUUCUCUCUACGGGCUGUAAAUUUAGGGGCAAACCUUGACAUUGAUUUUUCUGGUAAAACAUUAGUGGAAAGCCCUACUACUUAAAAAAACGUACUUGUAGGUGAGGUUAAUAUUUGCGAGCUCAUUGAGUCUGUUUAGACUGUAACUUCGACUCAAUUGCAUGAAUUUCAAAAAUUAUGUGGCAGUGCGCAUAUGUUUGUACAAACAUUUGCCUGUUGUCCAUGAACCAGUAAUAUUUUAAUAAAGAGGUUAUAUCCUGGGUAUAACUGUACAACGAAACCAAGCAAGCCCGUCUGAAUAGAUUAAUAUAUAUG